This 565-nucleotide ribosomal RNA is filed under the name uncultured Flavobacteriia bacterium. RNAcentral's name for it is "bacterial SSU rRNA". It matches the Rfam family "Bacterial small subunit ribosomal RNA", at positions 8 to 570 of the family's 1533-position model. The record is from RNAcentral. Lineage: Bacteria; Pseudomonadati; Bacteroidota; Flavobacteriia.
AGAGUUUGAUCAUGGCUCAGGAUGAACGCUAGCGGCAGGCUUAACACAUGCAAGUCGAGGGGUAGAUUUUCUUCGGAGAAUUGAGACCGGCGCACGGGUGCGUAACGCGUAUGCAACUUACCUUAUACUGGGGGAUAGCCCGGAGAAAUUCGGAUUAAUACCGCAUAUGCUCACAGUUUCGCAUGGAACAGUGAGGAAAGAUUUAUCGGUAUAAGAUAGGCAUGCGUCCUAUUAGCUUGUUGGUGAGGUAACGGCUCACCAAGGCGAUGAUAGGUAGGGGGCCUGAGAGGGUGGUCCCCCACACUGGUACUGAGACACGGACCAGACUCCUACGGGAGGCAGCAGUGAGGAAUAUUGGGCAAUGGAGGCAACUCUGACCCCAGCUAUGCCGCGUGAAGGAUGAAGGUCCUCUGGAUUGUAAACUUCUUUUGUAUGGGGAUAAACUUUUUCUACGUGUAGAAAACUGAAGGUACCAUACGAAUAAGGAUCGGCUAACUCCGUGCCAGCAGCCGCGGUAAUACGGAGGAUCCAAGCGUUAUCCGGAUUUCUUGGGUUUAAAGGGUCC